Molecule: transfer RNA, 87 nt
Filed under: Pseudomonas fluorescens
Lineage: Bacteria; Pseudomonadati; Pseudomonadota; Gammaproteobacteria; Pseudomonadales; Pseudomonadaceae
Description: tRNA-Sec
Source: RNAcentral
GCUCGGAGGCUGCGCGCAAAGGCGUGGCGUCCGGGCUUUCAAGGUUCGGCGCGGUGGCGACUACCUGUUCAUCCAGGUCUCCCAGCG